Molecule: non-coding RNA, 193 nt
Organism: Oryza glaberrima (African rice)
Lineage: Eukaryota; Viridiplantae; Streptophyta; Magnoliopsida; Poales; Poaceae
Source: Rfam
UAUAAGGGAUUUUAAGUUUUUGCUUGCAACAUUUGAUCACUCGUCUUAUUCAAAAAUUUUAAAAUUAUUAUUUAUUUUAUUUGUGACUUGCUUUAAUAUCCACAAUACUUUAAGCACAACUUUUCGUUUUUUAUAUUUGCAAAAAAUAUUUUAAAUAAGACGAGUGGUCAAACGUUACAAGCAAAAACUUAAA